GUAGGGGGCAAGCGUUGUCCGGAAUUAUUGGGCGUAAAGAGCGCGUAGGCGGYCYSAUAAGUCSGCUGUGAAAGYCMGGGGCUCAACCCYUGAAAGCCGGYCGAWACUGUCGGACUAGAGUCCGGAAGAGGCAAGUGGAAUUCCCGGUGUAGCGGUGAAAUGCGCAGAUAUCRGGAGGAACACCAAUGGCGAAGGCWGCUUGCUGGGACGGUACUGACGCUGAGGCGCGAAAGCGUGGGGAGCAAACAGGAUUAGAUACCCUGGUAGUCCACGCCGUAAACGAUGGGCACUAGGUGUGGGAGGUGUCGACUCCUCCCGUGCCGCAGCUAACGCAUUAAGUGCCCCGCCUGGGGAGUACGGCCGCAAGGCUA
RNAcentral lists this ribosomal RNA (371 nucleotides) under uncultured bacterium. RNAcentral describes it as "partial 16S ribosomal RNA". It matches the Rfam family "Bacterial small subunit ribosomal RNA", at positions 527 to 896 of the family's 1533-position model. The record is from RNAcentral.